AUUGGUGAUUGGCAUCGUAGCGUAGCGCGAGGCCGCAGCGGGCUGUUUACGACUUCGUACGAUUACCGAGAAUCGGCAGUAGCGUGUCCAUUAUAACAUUGAUAAUAUCGUGCAAUUAUACGUAAAUACGAACUAAUGUUUGUUUACAAAUCGGCUUCUGUGAAUUUAAUAGGUGUAGAGCGAUUUUUGGGAAUUUUAAUAAAAUAGUAUAUUUAAAUGUCAAAAGUGUGACAGUGGAAACGGACAAAUUUGGGUGAGGCACGGAGGCGGGGUAGCCGCGCCGCGCGCGAUGCAAGAGAAUAUAGUGCGGGCGAGGCGGGAGGGGCCGGCCGCGCUAGUGUGCGGGAGCGAGCGGGACGACACGCUGCCGGCACCUCUCACUCACACGCCAGAUAACCAACAACCGAGCAGAAGGAAAAUAAAAUGCAUCUAAAAUUCCUUUAAUGUGGACUCGCAUUUUAUGUUAUUGUAAAGUUGACCUUCACUUUUUAUGACCGUAAACAUCAACCCAUAGAAACCUCUAGACAUAGGUAGGUGGCUGUCAAGAGUGAGAACUCUUUAUGGUAUUAGGCAUCAUUAUAUUAAUAACGUUUUAUGAUCACAAACUUAUGAUAAACACGUGAAGAAAA
Trichoplusia ni (cabbage looper) is the source of this 629-nucleotide long non-coding RNA. RefSeq lists it as uncharacterized. The record is from RefSeq and is a predicted model, not a curated record. The transcript has 2 exons. Lineage: Eukaryota; Metazoa; Arthropoda; Insecta; Lepidoptera; Noctuidae.